GUGACACCCCUGUGGAGCAGGACUUACUUCAAUGGGGCUUUGGUGCUCACUGACUCUGCCCCUUGAAUGUGUCGCU
Molecule: microRNA precursor, 76 nt
Filed under: Myotis brandtii (Brandt's bat)
Lineage: Eukaryota; Metazoa; Chordata; Mammalia; Chiroptera; Vespertilionidae
Description: mir-9229 microRNA precursor family
Rfam family: mir-9229 microRNA precursor family
Source: Rfam by way of RNAcentral